Non-coding RNA from Pelobates cultripes (western spadefoot toad), 208 nucleotides. Lineage: Eukaryota; Metazoa; Chordata; Amphibia; Anura; Pelobatidae. The record is from the annotation of a GenBank genome assembly.
CUACACUAUACUUUGUAUCUUUUCAAAAUGUAUAUAUGAGAUUGUUGCUGUUUGUCCAUAUGUUUACUUACUCACACAAAAGGCAAGCCUCACUUCAUUAAACGUGAGUAGGUACAACAUGAAUGUGUAUAGAGUAUACAUGUAUUAUAAUAUAUCCUUCAUACUUCAUAUCUGUAAAUAAAAUGAUCUGGUAUUAUGUGAAGCAUCG